CCUAACACAUGCAAGUCGAACGCAGUAGCAAUACUGAGUGGCAGACGGGUGAGUAUAAUGUGGGAAUCUGCCUUUUGGUUCGGAAUAACUCGGGGAAACUUGAGCUAAUACCGGAUAAGCCCUUACGGGGAAAGAUUUAUCGCCGAAAGAUGAGCCCGCACUUGAUUAGCUAGUUGGUGAGGUAACUGCUCACCAAGGCAACAAUCAAUAGCUGUUCUUAGAGGAAGACCAGCCACAUUGGGACUGAGACACGGCCCAGACUCCUACGGGAGGCAGCAGUGGGGAAUCUUGCACAAUGGGGGAAACCCUGAUGCAGCGAUGCCGCGUGAGUGAAGAAGGCCUUUGGGUUGUAAAACUCUUUCGUCGGGGAAGAAAAUGACUGUACCCGAAUAAGAAGGUCCGGCUAACUUCGUGCCAGCAGCCGCGGUAAUACGAAGGGACCUAGCGUAGUUCGGAAUUACUGGGCUUAAAGAGCUCGUAGGUGGUUAAAAAAGUUGGUGGUGAAAUCCCAAGGCUUAACCUUGGAACUGCCAUCAAAACUUUUUAGCUUGAGUGUGAUAGAGGAAAGUGGAAUUUCUAGUGUAGAGGUGAAAUUCGUAGAUAUU
RNAcentral lists this ribosomal RNA (605 nucleotides) under uncultured marine bacterium. Its description in RNAcentral is "bacterial SSU rRNA". It matches the Rfam family "Bacterial small subunit ribosomal RNA", at positions 47 to 698 of the family's 1533-position model. The record is from RNAcentral.